RNAcentral lists this unclassified non-coding RNA (383 nucleotides) under fungal sp. RNAcentral describes it as "partial internal transcribed spacer region". The stretch from base 1 to 46 matches the Rfam family "Eukaryotic small subunit ribosomal RNA", at positions 1786 to 1831 of the family's 1831-position model. The record is from RNAcentral. Lineage: Eukaryota; Fungi.
AAGUCGUAACAAGGUUUCCGUAGGUGAACCUGCGGAAGGAUCAUUAACACCCCCUGUGAACCUUCACCUGUACUCGUACGUCCGUUAGAAAAAGCAGCAAUCUCUGGUAAAUCAUCGCCGAACAGUUUUCGAUUCAGGGACGUCUGCAAGGAGCGUGCAUGUUGUGCGAAGCAAGUGGCCUGGCAUCCCCAAGCAGUUAGUGUCUGAAAGUGUCAUUACCUGUGUAAGGAUGACGCAGUCACGAUCGUUGGAGGCCCACACGGCCGACGACCGGGUCGCUGGGCGCAAGCCCCCCUAUAACAAACCCCCUGCCAAUCGCGGCCGCGAUAAUACGCAGUCGACCAAAAACCGAACAACUGUUAACAAUGGAUAUCUUGGUUCUC